RNAcentral lists this ribosomal RNA (446 nucleotides) under uncultured bacterium. RNAcentral's name for it is "bacterial SSU rRNA". It matches the Rfam family "Bacterial small subunit ribosomal RNA", at positions 355 to 825 of the family's 1533-position model. The record is from RNAcentral.
UGGGGAAUAUUGGACAAUGGGGGCAACCCUGAUCCAGCCAUGCCGCGUGGAUGUUAAGGCCUUCGGGUUGUAAAGUCCUUUUGGCGGGGACGAUGAUGACGGUACCCGCAGAAUAAGAUCCGGCAAACUUCGUGCCAGCAGCCGCGGUGAUACGAAGGGAUCUAGCGUUGUUCGGAAUUACUGGGCGUAAAGCGCACGUAGGCGGAUUGUUAAGUCAGAGGUGAAAUCCCGGAGCUCAACUUCGGAACUGCCUUUGAUACUGGCAAUCUAGAGUCCGGAAGAGGUUAGUGGAAUUCCCAGUGUAGAGGUGAAAUUCGUAGAUAUUGGGAAGAACACCAGUGGCGAAGGCGGCUAACUGGUCCGGUACUGACGCUGAGGUGCGAAAGCGUGGGGAGCAAACAGGAUUAGAUACCCCCGUAGUCCCUGAGCGGGCUGGCAAGGCGCAU